AUUGAACGCUGGCGGCAGGCUUAACACAUGCAAGUCGAGCGGAGCGAGGGUGCUUGCACCUUAGCUUAGCGGCGGACGGGUGAGUAAUGCUUAGGAAUCUGCCUAUUAGUGGGGGACAACAUUCCGAAAGGAAUGCUAAUACCACAUACGCCCUACGGGGGAAAGCAGGGGAUCUUCGGACCUUGCGCUAAUAGAUGAGCCUAAGUCGGAUUAGCUAGUUGGUGGGGUAAAGGCCUACCAAGGGGACGAUCUGUAGCGGGUCUGAGAGGAUGGUCCGCCACACUGGGACUGAGACACGGCCCAGACUCCUACGGGAGGCAGCAGUGGGGAAUAUUGGACAAUGGGCGGAAGCCUGAUCCAGCCAUGCCGCGUGUGUGAAGAAGGCCUUUUGGUUGUAAAGCACUUUAAGCGAGGAGGAGGCUACUUAGAUUAAUACUCUGGGAUAGUGGACGUUACUCGCAGAAUAAGCACCGGCUAACUCUGUGCCAGCCGCCGCAGUAA
Molecule: ribosomal RNA, 501 nt
Filed under: uncultured bacterium
Lineage: Bacteria
Description: partial 16S ribosomal RNA
Rfam family: Bacterial small subunit ribosomal RNA
Source: RNAcentral